AGCCAGACCCGCAGGCUCCCGCCCCCGCCGCGCUGCGAAGCUCAGAGCCCGCGGGCCUGACCACAGCUGGCUGAGCUCCCUCCCCGGGGCUCAGCUGGUUCUGCUGUGAAUGGCACACCGGGGGUGCUGGGCAGCGUGAAGGCUGGUGAUCUGGGUUUGCAGGGACCAGUGAAGCCAGCCACUCCACCGCCCCAUCGAAUCGUGCCCCCUCCCCCGCAUCAGAAACCUGGGCGUGUGCAGGUUGUGGAAAGGGGAGUGUGCGAUCUGCCAGCCUUUGGAGAAAACCCUGAGGAGCUUGACUGCCAGUUGCUCCUGGGCCAGUGGUGUGCCCUGUGCCUUUAUCCCAGUGGACACCCCUCUGCUCAUCCCAGUGGGCCGUGAGCGCUCUAGGGCAGGACUCCCACAUGGUGCUUGGCACAUAGGAGAUGCUCAUGCAAAUGAGCAUCUUUGUUGAAUGAAUGAAUGAACAUCUGAAGAGGUUCUGUGCUCUGGCCACCCCUACUUGGAAUAUGGUGAAUUACGGUGCUGAGAGGGAUUCUAGGAUCAUCAGCCCCACCCCUCUUUCCAGGUGAAGACAACCUAAUAUAAACCACCUCCAAUCCCUGUCACAUCGCGAUGGCUUCCAGGACACCCCAACCCAAAUGGCCCUCAAUUCCGCUGAGUGUCCUGACACACCUGCUCCUCUCCUUUGGCUCCCGCUCAUGGCUUCCUUUGAGAUGUCCUUUGACCUACUUCUCUUUAUUGUCUUGGCCUUUAACCUGCAUAUCCUGUUUCUCUAACUAAAUUAUAAACUUCCUGAAGGGAGUAAGCAUGCCUUAUAUUUCUCUACAUUCUCACUGGAGCCCCAGUAGAGCUUACUAAAUAUUUAUUGGCUAA
Pipistrellus kuhlii (Kuhl's pipistrelle) is the source of this 876-nucleotide long non-coding RNA. RefSeq lists it as uncharacterized. NCBI's taxonomy places the organism in Eukaryota, Metazoa, Chordata, Mammalia, Chiroptera, Vespertilionidae. The transcript is spliced from 3 exons. The record is from RefSeq and is a predicted model, not a curated record.